RNAcentral lists this ribosomal RNA (740 nucleotides) under Salmonella enterica subsp. enterica serovar Heidelberg str. RI-11-013312. RNAcentral's name for it is "bacterial SSU rRNA". It matches the Rfam family "Bacterial small subunit ribosomal RNA", at positions 803 to 1533 of the family's 1533-position model. The record is from RNAcentral. Lineage: Bacteria; Pseudomonadati; Pseudomonadota; Gammaproteobacteria; Enterobacterales; Enterobacteriaceae.
UAAACGAUGUCUACUUGGAGGUUGUGCCCUUGAGGCGUGGCUUCCGGAGCUAACGCGUUAAGUAGACCGCCUGGGGAGUACGGCCGCAAGGUUAAAACUCAAAUGAAUUGACGGGGGCCCGCACAAGCGGUGGAGCAUGUGGUUUAAUUCGAUGCAACGCGAAGAACCUUACCUGGUCUUGACAUCCACGGAAGUUUUCAGAGAUGAGAAUGUGCCUUCGGGAACCGUGAGACAGGUGCUGCAUGGCUGUCGUCAGCUCGUGUUGUGAAAUGUUGGGUUAAGUCCCGCAACGAGCGCAACCCUUAUCCUUUGUUGCCAGCGGUUAGGCCGGGAACUCAAAGGAGACUGCCAGUGAUAAACUGGAGGAAGGUGGGGAUGACGUCAAGUCAUCAUGGCCCUUACGACCAGGGCUACACACGUGCUACAAUGGCGCAUACAAAGAGAAGCGACCUCGCGAGAGCAAGCGGACCUCAUAAAGUGCGUCGUAGUCCGGAUUGGAGUCUGCAACUCGACUCCAUGAAGUCGGAAUCGCUAGUAAUCGUGGAUCAGAAUGCCACGGUGAAUACGUUCCCGGGCCUUGUACACACCGCCCGUCACACCAUGGGAGUGGGUUGCAAAAGAAGUAGGUAGCUUAACCUUCGGGAGGGCGCUUACCACUUUGUGAUUCAUGACUGGGGUGAAGUCGUAACAAGGUAACCGUAGGGGAACCUGCGGUUGGAUCACCUCCUUACCUUAAAGAA